Harpia harpyja (harpy eagle) is the source of this 784-nucleotide long non-coding RNA. RefSeq lists it as uncharacterized. NCBI's taxonomy places the organism in Eukaryota, Metazoa, Chordata, Aves, Accipitriformes, Accipitridae. The record is from RefSeq and is a predicted model, not a curated record. The transcript has 4 exons.
CAGAAAGCUGGAACCAUAAUCCUGGAUUCCUGCAGAACAUACAAGUGCUUCCGAGCUCAUUAAAGGACAUCAGAGAAUACAAGGCUUCUGCAGGAUACAUGGAAUCAGAUCCAUUAUAGCAACUGUAGAAGGAAAAUAAUGAUUACUACUGGUUAGAACCGAGCAUUACAAAUGGAAUGUUCCAAGGAGUCUUCAACGUUGCAUUAUACAACAAUCACAGAGACAAAGGAUAUGGCCCUUCUUACACUCCAACCUCACGGAUAAUUAACAUGACUUCUCUGUCCAGUAUCAAAUACCUCCAGUUCCUGGGACUGUAGAUGCUCACGAAGCACAACUGGAAUCAGACGUUGGCAAAAAGGAGCAUUUCAUGCAAGCCUGACAUUUAACAGCUAAUAAAGAGUGACUGAUCUUGACCAACUUUGUGGGUUCAGUGAUAUCACAAAGGUUUUCUUUUCAUAUUGUCAUGGCCUCUUUCAUUUAAGCAUCCUUAGUUGUUUUAGGAGGUCUCCCACAGUGCCAGUUAGCAUACUUUUGAGCACCUGAGGGAGUGUCUUGAAAUCUAAGCCUCCUUUUUAAUUUCACACUCAGUCAAGUUCAACUGCAAUUAAUGGAGGACUCUCUCAUGGAAACAUCAAACAAUGGUUACUUUCAGUGAUUAGCAAGCCUAACUGCUCUAACACAAUCUCUGUAUCCCCAGUCUCUACGAAUGAUUCGUCAGCCCUUCUCCACAAUAAAGAUUACAUGAGAAAAACCUUUCUUGGCUUGCUGUGUAUUUUAUGCUAGA